This 271-nucleotide ribosomal RNA is filed under the name uncultured bacterium. Its description in RNAcentral is "partial 16S ribosomal RNA". It matches the Rfam family "Bacterial small subunit ribosomal RNA", at positions 524 to 794 of the family's 1533-position model. The record is from RNAcentral.
UACGAAGGGUGCAAGCGUUAAUCGGAAUUACUGGGCGUAAAGCGCGCGUAGGUGGUUCAGCAAGUUGGAUGUGAAAGCCCUGGGCUCAACCUGGGAACUGCGUCCAAAACUACGCGACUAGAGUACCGGAGAGGAUAGCGGAAUUCACGGUGUAGCAGUGAAAUGCGUAGAUAUCGUGAAGAACACCAGCGGCGAAGGCGGCUAUCUGGAAGGUAACUGACGCUCAGGCACGAAAGCGUGGGGAGCAAAAGGGAUUAGAAACCCCGGUAGU